Molecule: transfer RNA, 76 nt
Filed under: Podarcis lilfordi (Lilford's wall lizard)
Lineage: Eukaryota; Metazoa; Chordata; Lepidosauria; Squamata; Lacertidae
Description: tRNA.Ile
Source: RNAcentral
GGAUAGUUCAGUUUGUUAGAGCGUGUUGCUGAUAACGCCAAGGUUGCAGGUUCGAUCCCUGUAUGGGGCAGCUACA